CGUCCUAUUAGCUAGUUGGUGAGGUAAUGGCUCACCAAGGCUACGAUGGGUAGGGGUUCUUAGUGGAAGGUCCCCCACACUGGCACUGAGAUACGGGCCAGACUCCUACGGGAGGCAGCAGUAGGGAAUAUUGGUCAAUGGGCGCAAGCCUGAACCAGCCAUGCCGCGUGCAGGAUGAAGGCUCUCUGAGUUGUAAACUGCUUUUGUACAGGAGCAAAAAAAUCCCUGCGGGGGUUCUUGAGAGUACUGUGAGAAUAAGCACCGGCUAAUUCCGUGCCAGCAGCCGCGGUAAUACGGGAGGUGCAAGCGUUAUCCGGUUUUAUUGGGUUUAAAGGGUGCGUAGGCGGCUUAUUAAGUCAGUUGUGAAAUCCUAGUGCUUAACGCUAGAACUGCGAUUGAUACUAUU
This 406-nucleotide ribosomal RNA is filed under the name Cardinium endosymbiont of Bemisia tabaci. RNAcentral's name for it is "bacterial SSU rRNA". It matches the Rfam family "Bacterial small subunit ribosomal RNA", at positions 234 to 637 of the family's 1533-position model. The record is from RNAcentral. Lineage: Bacteria; Pseudomonadati; Bacteroidota; Cytophagia; Cytophagales; Amoebophilaceae.